This 3566-nucleotide long non-coding RNA is filed under the name Equus caballus (horse). RNAcentral's name for it is "lncRNA (ENSECAG00000055055.1)". Lineage: Eukaryota; Metazoa; Chordata; Mammalia; Perissodactyla; Equidae. The record is from RNAcentral.
UGCAAAUUCCGAUGUAUUCCUACAGGCAAGGGGCAAGCACUUCUUCUAUCAGUUCUUGCUUUCUGAGAAAGUGCAGUGCAAUGGCUGGAGCUCCACCAGCCAUCUUGCAUCAUGAGAAUCACCUUGAAAAUGGAAAUCACACAUGGUAGAGCAACGAGAUAGAAGGAAAGUGGGUCUCUGAGACCGUGGAGUGCCAUCCCAGCCCUGGACUGACUCCUUCUGGACUUCAAGAACAUGAGGGAGAAAUAAACGAUCUUGUUUAAGCUCCUGCUCUUCGAAGUGCGUCCCAAGGACCAGCAGCACUGGCAUCUCCUGGGAGCUUGUUAGAGAUGUACGAUCUUGUGUGCCACCCCGACCUACUGGAUCAAUAUCUACGGUUUAACUAGAUCCUCAGUGAUUUGUAUGCCUGUUCAAGUUUGAGAAACACUGGUUUAACCCACUGUUGUUGGCUUAACCUAAUUCUGACUGAUUGUGGCUGCAGUGGCCUUGCUGAUGCUGGUGACUGAGAGCCCCUUGUUAUUUCCAGAGUCUAUGGAGGCAGUGGCUUCCAGGAAAGCCAUCCGUGACUCAUGGAGUACUGUUCUCCAAACGGUCCUCAUCCCAAUCUGGCCUUGCAGAGCUCUAUGCAAAGAACAGAGCCACCAGAAGCAGUGGGAGAAAUCAGAACUCCGCAGCCUGUGGGUGCGUCUCUGGAAUUGGCUCACAUAAUUACAGAAGCCAAGAAGUCCCAUGAUCUGCCGUCUACAAGGUGAAGAACCUGGAAAGCCAGUGGUGUCGUUCAGGCCAAGCUGGAAGGCUGAGACCCAGGGGAGCGAUGGUGUAACUGCCCGUCUGCAGCUGAAGGCCUGAGAACCCGGCCGGGGGUGUGGGCUGCUGCUUGACCUGGGACAUCUGCUGGGUAAUUCUGCAUUGGAGAAAGGACCAUUGAACGUUGGCUCUGAGCUGAAACUGACUCCUGGAAACUCAAAACGCCACUGUGGUCUCCCAGCUGGGGGAUUUUGAGGCUAAGGGGAUAAUUGGAUUUCUGACCCAAAACCACCUCAGUGAAGGCAAUGGGAGCCAGACCACAUCCCAUAUUUCUUUGCCAAGAUUUUGAGUGGAGUGUUUGAUUGGACAUGCUUGGAAAUUGACAGAAUCUCCACACCGACUCCUUGGUUUGUGGAAUAAUGGCUAAUGUAGGGAAGGGCCAAAUGGAAGCCUCUGGAAUUCCACCUCCCAAUCAAAGUGAUUAGCCCGUAAAGUUCCACAUCCUAGGGGAAUGUCAGAUAUUAGUGCCAACAUCGAACAUUUGCAAAACUGCAGCAAUGGUGAUCCCUGUUAUGCUCUUAGAGAGCUUGCCUGCUUAGUUGGUGCAGAAGACAGAUCAAUCUUGGAGAAUAACUACAGAUCUUUGUAAGCUUAUUCAAGUGCUGACUCCAAUUUUAGCUGUUAUCUUAGAUGAAUUGAUAAAUUUACCCAGCCCAAGGUAUCACAGCUGGUAAAUCUUUGCUUUUUUUAAAUCCCUAUGAGCAUAAAGGCAUCAGGAAUUCAAUAGUUAGAUCUCACCUGAAAAGGAUAGCAGUCAUCUUCAUGAUGUGUUCUCCGGGCGACAUCAGUCUUCUGGCUCUGUGGCACAAUUCACCCCCACUGGUCCAUCACCCUACAUGCUAUAAUCCCAGUCUCCUACAUGGCUGACAACAAGCUCACAGGUCAUGGAGAGUAGAAGGUAACAGGUACUUAAACGUUUUUGUAAGACAUCUAUGCGCUACAGGACAGACAAUAAAUCCCCCAAAAUACAGGGACUUGGCCACCUCGCUGACAUUUUGAGAAGCUGGUGUCUGGGACAUAUUGGGAUAUUCCCUCCAAAGUGAAGGAGAAAUCGACUCACUGUGUCCCCUGCUACAAAGAAGGAGGUGUGAUGCUUUGUGAACUGCUUUGGACUUUGGAAGGAACGUGGAAAGAACCAAACAUCACAUUUGGUUGUGCUCUUCUGAUUCAUUUACUGAGUGAGCCACAAGACUCGCAGUUCUGGGCAGGGCUCAGAGCAAGAGGAGGCUCUUCAGCUGGGACAGACUAUAACCGAGGCAGCCCUGCUCUUUGGGCCUUAUAACCCAACAGGGCCAAGGGUACUAAGUUUCUUUAGUAGAUCAUUGAUGGGAAAAUCAGCACAAACACUAACAUUUUGGAGCAAAGCUAAGAUCUCUUCAGCAAGCAAAUAGUCUCCUUUUGACAAGCAGCGCUUGGCAGUAUUCUGGGCCUGGUAGAAAACCAGUACACCUGACCAGAGGAUGUCAGAUGGUCCUGCAACUUGUGCUUUCCCCUGUUAGCAGGGUGUUCUCUGCCCCACCAAACCAUAAAACUGAGCACGGCCUGCAACAUUCCAUCACCACCUCAAAGGGUCAUGGGCUCACACAGUCCUGAAGAUCAGUGGUAUGCCUAGCGUAUUUGGUACCCAGAGUCGGGGGUGUAUUGGUAAAUAUUUAGCAACCAACUCUUUUUGGGGUGAGAGCCCUGGUUUGCACAGUUUGUAUAUUUCCGUGGUGUAGAUGCUACCACUGUGGCUGAUUGCAGGCUACCAACAGGACAUCGCUGAACACAGUCAGAAAAGAUUUCACAACUGGUUCUCAGCAGCCAGUGCAAGCUGGCUCCAGCACGCCACCACCCAGAGUGGGCCAUUUUCCAAAUCCCCUUUCUCUAUGCAGUAAGAUUAUUUUCAGAAAACGAUCAUGAGAUGCAAUGAAUAAUAACUUCAGAAAAAGCACAGACAGCGGAAAUUUUCUUUUAUUGUAAUCAUGCUGGUAAACAUUUUUUAAAUAAAAAAGAAAAUUAAUAUCCAGUAAAAAAGAGGAGAAAAGGAUUGGCCAUAUGGUUUCUGGGCUGGCAUUUAAGGAGCUUAGAAGUCCCCACUCCAUCCUAACGAGUAAAAAGCUGAACGAACUGAAAAGCCAACAGCUUUCUUACAUCUCUCAGAGAAGUGAGGUCACAGGGCAAACGCUGCCCCCCAAAUUGGAGAGACUGACAGGCACACAGAAUGACAGCGUACCUGAGCAGAGACCCGGGAGCUGCAUUUUUUUUUUCCAAAAAAGGGAAAAGAAUUUUACCUAAAUAUUGUUCUGUCCCAGUAAUGAAGAACAUGACAGUUUCUGGUUUCCAGCCUUGGCUUCUGCAAGUGUGUCAGUGACUUCAUCAGAAUUGAACUUGUUUGAAUGCUGCUCUUCAGUGGACCGUACAGCCAGAUUCGACAAUCCAUCUUUGUUCAAUGGUUGAUCAAAGAACGCUUUUUGUUAAUCUUAAUUCCAAAAACUUUCUUACAUGUUAAGUAACAUGAACGAACUGUUCUGUAAAUACAAUUGUGUUGGAACACAGCCACUCACAUUUGUUUACAUCUUAUUUAUGGAGGCUUUUUUUUGCAGCCACAGCAAGCUGGGUAGUUGUCACAGACCAUGUUGUUUACGAGCCUAAAAUACUGAUCAGGCCCUUUAAGAAAAAGUUUGCCAGCCCCGACCUAAAGGAUUAAAAAUAAAAUGUAAUUUGUAUUUAAAGUGUACAAAAUUUGAAUAUAUUUUCAUCAAAAAUCCUAAACUAUG